This is a long non-coding RNA of Eucalyptus grandis, 1146 nucleotides long. RefSeq lists it as uncharacterized. Lineage: Eukaryota; Viridiplantae; Streptophyta; Magnoliopsida; Myrtales; Myrtaceae. The transcript has 3 exons. The record is from RefSeq and is a predicted model, not a curated record.
UUGUAGCUUCGCGGCUGCUCCGAGAUUCUGGGCUGGUCGUUCUAUCGUCUUGCUCGGAGCGAGCAAAAUGGUGUCCAAAAGGAGCAUGUCGAAUUCGUCAACACCUGAGUGGCGGCGACUUCUGAGGACAAGAAAGGGAAGAAAUCGAAAGGAUUGGUGGCUUCAGUUCCUAGUUCUACCAAAAGUCAUGUCAAGAAAAAUUCUGGUGCAAGCAUUGGUGAAGUCGUGUUGCCUAAUAAUGACCCGGCCAAAAUUGAGGCAAUGACAUUUCAUGAAUUGAGAGCUACAUUGAGGGAGAUUAUUGAGCAGGGAAGUGAAUAUUACUGAUGGAAAACCAUGAGGUCUUGAGAAUUUGCCUUCAACAAAGAGCAAUUUGUUUAUGAAAAUGAAUUUUUUUGCAUCACGCUUUUUCUCAAAAUGAUAAUGAAACCUGUAAGUCAUUUUUUGUCUUUCUAUGGUUGUUUCUAAGGCUUGUAAAUUGUUAUUGUAAAGCAUGUGGGAAGAGUACACAGAACGACUGGGUUGAAGGACUGGCUCCCUACCUAUUGUUGCAGUUCAAAGGCAUUAUGAUUUGUUACAGCAAGUGCAUUUGACCCCAAUGAAUUGUCAUAUUUUGACCGAGAAUGUUGGAGUCUAUAUAGACAUUCUGAUGUUUUAAUCUAGUUAAUUGAUAUAAUAAUAUGCUUGUAGUAGGGUUAGUCCAUUUGCUUUGUGUCUAUUCGAAUGAAAUGCUUCUCAUCUUAAAUAAAGAUCACAGCCAAUGAUCAGUUAAGUUGCUUAUGAGAUAUAAUUAGCAUCUCAAGUGAUGUUGGAUGAAUAACAAAAUCGACAUAAGUUGCACUUUGUAUGCUGUGAGUUCCACCUGAAUCUCUGCAGAAGCAUAGUCACAAAAAACAGGAGAGAAUUAAGUCUUGAUCUCUAUUCGAUAGAUAAAUAGCUGCUCCAAGCAAAGAGAGAAAUUAUGUUACUUAGUUGAAUAUAUUUAAGAUAGCAUGGUCCAUAGACUCUGUGCUUUGAAAUGGCCUAGCUAAAAUGUGACGAAAGAUGAUCAAAUUGUGAUAUUCUUUAAGCCCAAGUGUAAUAAUUUAUAUUAUUGGGCAAUUAGAGUUUUCUUUCAUUAUUGCGAGUGCUUUUUCUCACAUCUAU